This 253-nucleotide ribosomal RNA is filed under the name uncultured bacterium. Its description in RNAcentral is "partial 16S ribosomal RNA". It matches the Rfam family "Bacterial small subunit ribosomal RNA", at positions 524 to 776 of the family's 1533-position model. The record is from RNAcentral.
UACGUAGGGCGCAAGCGUUGUCCGGAAUCAUUGGGCGUAAAGAGCUCGUAGGCGGUUUGUCGCGUCUGCUGUGAAAACCUAAGGCUCAACCUUGGGCUUGCAGUGGGUACGGGCAGACUAGAGUGCGGUAGGGGUGACUGGAAUUCCUGGUGUAGCGGUGGAAUGCGCAGAUAUCAGGAGGAACACCGAUGGCGAAGGCAGGUCACUGGGCCGCAACUGACGCUGAGGAGCGAAAGCGUGGGGAGCGAACAGG